GUGAAAAAAGUGAUUCAAUUUUAUUAAUUAAAACAGGACACCUAUUUUACUUCAGAAUAAAACCACGGUGAAAUGUAACAACAGCUACAUGUGAAUCAUACACAUGCAUACCCUUCUGAUUCUUUUGAUUAAUUUUUCCUCUCAACGAUAACUGCCCUCCCUUCAAUUUCCAAGAAUAAGACUCAUUUUUCAUUAAACACAGGUAGAUGAGUUCCCCUUGUGGCUCAGCUAUAACGAACCCAAUUAGUAUCUAUGAGAAUGUGGGUUCCAUCCCUGGCCUCGCUCAGUGGGCUAAGGAUCUGGCGUUGCGUGAGCUGUGGUGUAGGUCAGGGAUCGAACCCUCAACAUUCAGGUUCGUUAACCGGGUUCGUUAACCACUGAGCCACAACAGGAACUCCAUGAUCCACCUGCUACUUCCAAGACUUAAUCUCUUUCAUGUUACUGUCCUCUAUGUCCCCAUAGGUUCAUCAUCAUUCAUUCCUCCUCUUGGUCGCUUUCUGUCUUUGCUUCUCUGGAUCCCCCUUGCUCACACCUUUACAGAGAUGGAGACUGAAUAAAAUCCCCCGCCUACUGGAAAAGCACAUUUUCCAGGGGGUGGGAUUUAAGCCUGAAGAUUUUGGGUNCCCCCCCCCCCCCCCCCCGCGCGCGCCGCAGGAUGCGGGGAAGGGCUGACGACGCAGGGGAGAUCUGCGGGGCAGAAGGACCGGCCUGAGGGGACGCGAGGACAGAGGGGCUGCAGGGAGGGUGUCUCCGGAGAGGGCGGGUUCCCGAAUCCCAGGACCAGGGGGAGGAUGCGGCCUCUCCAGGAGCGGGGCGACCGGCGCUGCCCCCAGGGGCGGGGUACACGGACCCUCCUCGCCGAAGAGGACUUUCCAGGGAGAUAGUAAACGGUUUUAUGAAGACAAACGACGGGAAAGGUGGCAUCUACGUGGACCGAAGGCAGAAAAACCAAGGGCUCCGGGAGCAGGCACAGAGCGAUUGCAAAACCAACGGGAAUACCCGACCUGUAGCGGCGACGUCUGGAUUUGUUUGGGAAGAGGGGCGGGAGCUGGCUUUUUCGAACCGUGGCGGCCCCCACACCCUGAGGAAGGAGUACAGGAGACCGCGAAUCACAGAUUUGUGCGAGAAAGGAG
RNAcentral lists this long non-coding RNA (1133 nucleotides) under Sus scrofa (pig). RNAcentral's name for it is "lncRNA (ENSSSCG00025015623.1)". The record is from RNAcentral. Lineage: Eukaryota; Metazoa; Chordata; Mammalia; Artiodactyla; Suidae.